GGGUUGUGAGGUUAAGCGACUAAGCGUACACGGUGGAUGCCCUGGCAGUCAGAGGCGAUGAAGGACGUGCUAAUCUGCGAUAAGCGCCGGUAAGGUGAUAUGAACCGUUAUAACCGGCGAUUUCCGAAUGGGGAAACCCAGUGUGACUCGUCACACUAUCAUUAACUGAAUCCAUAGGUUAAUGAGGCGAACCGGGGGAACUGAAACAUCUAAGUACCCCGAGGAAAAGAAAUCAACCGAGAUUCCCCCAGUAGCGGCGAGCGAACGGGGAGGAGCCCAGAGCCUGAAUCAGCAUGUGUGUUAGUGGAAGCGUCUGGAAAGGCGCGCGAUACAGGGUGACAGCCCCGUACACAAAAGCGCAUGUGCUGUGAGCUCGAUGAGUAGGGCGGGACACGUGGUAUCCUGUCUGAAUAUGGGGGGACCAUCCUCCAAGGCUAAAUACUCCUGACUGACCGAUAGUGAACCAGUACCGUGAGGGAAAGGCGAAAAGAACCCCGGCGAGGGGAGUGAAAAAGAACCUGAAACCGUGUACGUACAAGCAGUGGGAGCACAGGUUUACCUGUGUGACUGCGUACCUUUUGUAUAAUGGGUCAGCGACUUAUAUUCUGUAGCAAGGUUAACCGAAUAGGGGAGCCGGAGGGAAACCGAGUCUUAACCGGGCGUUAAGUUGCAGGGUAUAGACCCGAAACCCGGUGAUCUAGCCAUGGGCAGGUUGAAGGUUGGGUAACACUAACUGGAGGACCGAACCGACUAAUGUUGAAAAAUUAGCGGAUGACCUGUGGCUGGGGGUGAAAGGCCAAUCAAACCGGGAGAUAGCUGGUUCUCCCCGAAAGCUAUUUAGGUAGCGCCUCGUGAAUUCAUCUCCGGGGGUAGAGCACUGUUUCGGCUAGGGGGCCAUCCCGGCUUACCAACCCGAUGCAAACUGCGAAUACCGGAGAAUGUUAUCACGGGAGACACACGGCGGGUGCUAACGUCCGUCGUGAAGAGGGAAACAACCCAGACCGCCAGCUAAGGUCCCAAAGUCAUGGUUAAGUGGGAAACGAUGUGGGAAGGCCCAGACAGCCAGGAUGUUGGCUUAGAAGCAGCCAUCAUUUAAAGAAAGCGUAAUAGCUCACUGGUCGAGUCGGCCUGCGCGGAAGAUGUAACGGGGCUAAACCAUGCACCGAAGCUGCGGCAGCGAACGUAUCACUUAAAGCGAUUCAGCGGGUUACGAUUGACGGAGCGAAGCGACGUCAAAGCGUAUACAAAGUCGAGUCGGUUUAAGGAUACGUUCGUUGGGUAGGGGAGCGUUCUGUAAGCCUGUGAAGGUGUGUCGUGAGGCAUGCUGGAGGUAUCAGAAGUGCGAAUGCUGACAUAAGUAACGAUAAAGCGGGUGAAAAGCCCGCUCGCCGGAAGACCAAGGGUUCCUGUCCAACGUUAAUCGGGGCAGGGUGAGUCGACCCCUAAGGCGAGGCCGAAAGGCGUAGUCGAUGGGAAACGGGUUAAUAUUCCCGUACUUGGUGUUACUGCGAAGGGGGGACGGAGAAGGCUAUGUUGGCCGGGCGACGGUUGUCCCGGUUUAAGCGUGUAGGUGUGUGUUCCAGGUAAAUCCGGUUCACUUUAACACUGAGGCGUGAUGACGAGGCACUACGGUGCUGAAGCAACAAAUGCCCUGCUUCCAGGAAAAGCCUCUAAGCAUCAGGUAACAUCAAAUCGUACCCCAAACCGACACAGGUGGUCAGGUAGAGAAUACCAAGGCGCUUGAGAGAACUCGGGUGAAGGAACUAGGCAAAAUGGUGCCGUAACUUCGGGAGAAGGCACGCUGACAUGUAGGUGAAGUGAUUUACUCAUGGAGCUGAAGUCAGUCGAAGAUACCAGCUGGCUGCAACUGUUUAUUAAAAACACAGCACUGUGCAAACACGAAAGUGGACGUAUACGGUGUGACGCCUGCCCGGUGCCGGAAGGUUAAUUGAUGGGGUCAGCGCAAGCGAAGCUCCUGAUCGAAGCCCCGGUAAACGGCGGCCGUAACUAUAACGGUCCUAAGGUAGCGAAAUUCCUUGUCGGGUAAGUUCCGACCUGCACGAAUGGCGUAAUGAUGGCCAGGCUGUCUCCACCCGAGACUCAGUGAAAUUGAACUCGCUGUGAAGAUGCAGUGUACCCGCGGCAAGACGGAAAGACCCCGUGAACCUUUACUAUAGCUUGACACUGAACAUUGAGCCUUGAUGUGUAGGAUAGGUGGGAGGCUUUGAAGCGUGGACGCCAGUCUGCGUGGAGCCGACCUUGAAAUACCACCCUUUAAUGUUUGAUGUUCUAACGUGGACCCGUAAUCCGGGUUGCGGACAGUGUCUGGUGGGUAGUUUGACUGGGGCGGUCUCCUCCUAAAGAGUAACGGAGGAGCACGAAGGUUGGCUAAUCCUGGUCGGACAUCAGGAGGUUAGUGCAAUGGCAUAAGCCAGCUUGACUGCGAGCGUGACGGCGCGAGCAGGUGCGAAAGCAGGUCAUAGUGAUCCGGUGGUUCUGAAUGGAAGGGCCAUCGCUCAACGGAUAAAAGGUACUCCGGGGAUAACAGGCUGAUACCGCCCAAGAGUUCAUAUCGACGGCGGUGUUUGGCACCUCGAUGUCGGCUCAUCACAUCCUGGGGCUGAAGUAGGUCCCAAGGGUAUGGCUGUUCGCCAUUUAAAGUGGUACGCGAGCUGGGUUUAGAACGUCGUGAGACAGUUCGGUCCCUAUCUGCCGUGGGCGCUGGAGAACUGAGGGGGGCUGCUCCUAGUACGAGAGGACCGGAGUGGACGCAUCACUGGUGUUCGGGUUGUCAUGCCAAUGGCACUGCCCGGUAGCUAAAUGCGGAAGAGAUAAGUGCUGAAAGCAUCUAAGCACGAAACUUGCCCCGAGAUGAGUUCUCCCUGAGACUUAGAGUCUCCUGAAGGAACGUUGAAGACGACGACGUUGAUAGGCCGGGUGUGUAAGCGCAGCGAUGCGUUGAGCUAACCGGUACUAAUGAACCGUGAGGCUUAACCUUACAACGCCGAAG
This 3010-nucleotide ribosomal RNA is filed under the name Salmonella enterica subsp. enterica serovar Infantis. Its description in RNAcentral is "bacterial LSU rRNA". It matches the Rfam family "Bacterial large subunit ribosomal RNA". The record is from RNAcentral. RNAcentral also lists the same sequence under 2 other names. Lineage: Bacteria; Pseudomonadati; Pseudomonadota; Gammaproteobacteria; Enterobacterales; Enterobacteriaceae.